RNAcentral lists this ribosomal RNA (253 nucleotides) under uncultured bacterium. RNAcentral describes it as "partial 16S ribosomal RNA". It matches the Rfam family "Bacterial small subunit ribosomal RNA", at positions 524 to 776 of the family's 1533-position model. The record is from RNAcentral.
UACGUAGGGGGCGAGCGUUGUCCGGAAUUAUUGGGCGUAAAGAGCGUGUAGGCGGUUCGGUAAGUCUGCCGUGAAAACCUGGGGCUCAACCCCGGGCGUGCGGUGGAUACUGCCGGGCUAGAGGGUGGUAGAGGCGAGUGGAAUUCCCGGUGUAGCGGUGAAAUGCGCAGAUAUCAGGAGGAACACCAAUUGCGAAGGCAGCUCGCUGGGACGUAACUGACGCUGAGACGCGAAAGCGUGGGGAGCAAACAGG